Molecule: ribosomal RNA, 424 nt
Filed under: uncultured Lactobacillus sp.
Lineage: Bacteria; Bacillati; Bacillota; Bacilli; Lactobacillales; Lactobacillaceae
Description: bacterial SSU rRNA
Rfam family: Bacterial small subunit ribosomal RNA
Source: RNAcentral
CCUACGGGAGGCAGCAGUGGGGAAUAUUGCACAAUGGGCGAAAGCCUGAUGCAGCAACGCCGCGUGAACGAUGAAGGUCUUCGGAUCGUAAAGUUCUGUUGCAGGGGAAGAUAAUGACGGUACCCUGUGAGGAAGCCCCGGCUAACUACGUGCCAGCAGCCGCGGUAAUACGUAGGGGGCUAGCGUUAUCCGGAUUUACUGGGCGUAAAGGGUGCGUAGGUGGUCCUUCAAGUCGGUGGUUAAAGGCUACGGCUCAACCGUAGUAAGCCGCCGAAACUGGAGGACUUGAGUGCAGGAGAGGAAAGUGGAAUUCCCAGUGUAGCGGUGAAAUGCGUAGAUAUUGGGAGGAACACCAGUAGCGAAGGCGGCUUUCUGGACUGCAACUGACACUGAGGCACGAAAGCGUGGGUAGCAAACAGGAUUA